Molecule: ribosomal RNA, 507 nt
Filed under: uncultured bacterium
Lineage: Bacteria
Description: partial 16S ribosomal RNA
Rfam family: Bacterial small subunit ribosomal RNA
Source: RNAcentral
GACGAACGCUGGCGGCGUGCCUAAUACAUGCAAGUCGAACGCAUUUUCUUUCACCGUAGCUUGCUACACCGAAAGAAAAUGAGUGGCGAACGGGUGAGUAACCCUUCGGUAACCUGCCCAUCAGCGGGGGAUAACACUUGCUAACAGGUGCUAAUACCUCAUAAUUCCAUUUUCCGCAGUGUAGAUGGGUGAAAGGCUCUUUUGUGUCUCUGUUGGAUGGACCCGCGGUGCAUUGGCAGGUUGGUGGGGUAACGGGCUACCAAGGCUGCCAUGCAUAGGCGACCUGGGAGGGGGAUCGGGCACACUGGGAACGAGACAAGGCCCAGAAUCCUACGGGAGGGAGCAGGAGGGGAUCUUCGGCAAUGGAGCCAAGUCUGAACGAGCAACGCCGCGGGAGUGAAGAAGGGUUUCGGAUCGGAAAACUCCGUUGUUAGAGAAGAAAAAGGAUGAGAGUGGAAAGUUCAUCCCUUGACGGUAUCUAACCAGAAAGCCACGGCUAACUACGUG